RNAcentral lists this ribosomal RNA (475 nucleotides) under uncultured Bacillota bacterium. Its description in RNAcentral is "bacterial SSU rRNA". It matches the Rfam family "Bacterial small subunit ribosomal RNA", at positions 355 to 824 of the family's 1533-position model. Lineage: Bacteria; Bacillati; Bacillota. The record is from RNAcentral.
UAGGGAAUCUUCGGCAAUGGGCGAAAGCCUGACCGAGCAACGCCGCGUGAGCGAUGAAGGCCUUCGGGUCGUAAAGCUCUGUUGUUAGAGAAGAACAAGUACGAGAGUAACUGCUCGUACCUUGACGGUACCUAACCAGAAAGCCACGGCUAACUACGUGCCAGCAGCCGCGGUAAUACGUAGGUGGCAAGCGUUAUCCGGAAUUAUUGGGCGUAAAGCGCGCGCAGGCGGUCUCUUAAGUCUGAUGUGAAAGCCCACGGCUCAACCGUGGAGGGUCAUUGGAAACUGGGAGACUUGAGUGCAGGAGAGAAAAGUGGAAUUCCACGUGUAGCGGUGAAAUGCGUAGAGAUGUGGAGGAACACCAGUGGCGAAGGCGGCUUUUGGCCUGUAACUGACGCUGAGGCGCGAAAGCGUGGGGAGCAAACAGGAUUAGAUACCCUGGUAGUCCACGCCGUAACGAUGAGUGCUAGGUGUU